This 62-nucleotide transfer RNA is filed under the name Ramisyllis multicaudata. Its description in RNAcentral is "tRNA-Thr". The record is from RNAcentral. Lineage: Eukaryota; Metazoa; Annelida; Polychaeta; Phyllodocida; Syllidae.
GAUUUUAUAGUUUAACUAAAACCCUGAUCUUGUAAAUCAGAAAUGAUCAAUAUCUAAAAUCU